Molecule: ribosomal RNA, 497 nt
Filed under: uncultured bacterium
Lineage: Bacteria
Description: partial 16S ribosomal RNA
Rfam family: Bacterial small subunit ribosomal RNA
Source: RNAcentral
GAUGAACGCUGGCGGCGUGCCUAAUACAUGCAAGUCGAGCGAACGGACGAGAAGCUUGCUUCUCUGAUGUUAGCGGCAGACGGGUGAGUAACACGUGGAUAACCUACCUAUAAGACUGGGAUAACUUCGGGAAACCGUAGCUAGUACCGGAUAAUAUUUUGAACCGCAUGGUUCAAAAGUGAAAGACGGUCUUGCUGUCACUUAUAGAUGGAUCCGCGCUGCAUUAGCUAGUUGGUAAGGUAACGGCUUACCAAGGCAACGAUGCAUAGCCGACCUGAGAGGGUGAUCGGCCACACUGGAACUGAGACACGGUCCAGACUCCUACGGGAGGCAGCAGUAGGGAAUCUUCCGCAAUGGGCGAAAGCCUGACGGAGCAACGCCGCGUGAGUGAUGAAGGUCCUCGGAUCGUAAAACUCUGUUAUUAGGGAAGAGCAUAUGUGUAAGUAACUGUGCACAUCUUGACGGUACCUAAUCAGAAAGCCACGGCUAACUACGUG